UGUAGGUGAACCUGCAGAUGGAUCAUUUC
Molecule: ribosomal RNA, 29 nt
Filed under: Macalpinomyces eriachnes
Lineage: Eukaryota; Fungi; Basidiomycota; Ustilaginomycetes; Ustilaginales; Ustilaginaceae
Also listed under: 5 other names
Description: partial 18S ribosomal RNA
Source: RNAcentral